This 475-nucleotide ribosomal RNA is filed under the name Pasteurellaceae bacterium canine oral taxon 080. RNAcentral describes it as "bacterial SSU rRNA". It matches the Rfam family "Bacterial small subunit ribosomal RNA", at positions 9 to 479 of the family's 1533-position model. Lineage: Bacteria; Pseudomonadati; Pseudomonadota; Gammaproteobacteria; Pasteurellales; Pasteurellaceae. The record is from RNAcentral.
GAGUUUGAUUAUGGCUCAGAUUGAACGCUGGCGGCAGGCUUAACACAUGCAAGUCGAACGGUAGCAGGAGAAAGCUUGCUUUCUUGCUGACGAGUGGCGGACGGGUGAGUAAUGCUUGGGAAUCUGGCUUAUGGAGGGGGAUAACUACUGGAAACGGUAGCUAAUACCGCGUAAUAUCGAGAGAUUAAAGACUGGGACCUACGGGCCAGUUGCCAUAAGAUGAGCCCAAGUGGGAUUAGGUAGUUGGUGGGGUAAAGGCCUACCAAGCCCGCGAUCUCUAGCUGGUCUGAGAGGAUGACCAGCCACACUGGAACUGAGACACGGUCCAGACUCCUACGGGAGGCAGCAGUGGGGAAUAUUGCACAAUGGGGGGAACCCUGAUGCAGCCAUGCCGCGUGAAUGAAGAAGGCCUUCGGGUUGUAAAGUUCUUUCGGUGGUGAGGAAGGUAUCAACUUUAAUAGAGUUGGNAAUUGAC